UUUGUGUUAAGAAAAGUACAUUUUAUACUUAUUAAAAGUAAUUAUAAUCUUAAUAAAAAAAAUAUUAUUCAUAAGAAGAAAUGUAAUAUUUCAAAAUUAUUACUUUUUUCACGAAAAUAGUUAAUUUUAUUCAUGAAAACUUAUAAUUUUAAUUAUUUGGUUAAGUAAUUAUGAUUGCAAGGAAAAAUAACCAUUGAUAUGAGUAAAGGUAUGAAAAAAGAAUGUAAAAAGUAAAAAAAUGUUGAAAAUAAAAAAUUAAAGGAGAAAAUAAGGAAAAAGGAAGAAGAAACAAAAAAGCAAAAAAUGAACAAAUAAAAGGAAUAAAAAUAUAAGCAAAAGAAAAUAAAAAUGGAAAAACAAAAUGUGGGGGAAAGAAGUUUCGAACUCUUGACCUUUGAGAAGACAAAGGGGAGCACCAACCACUGCACCACAUGAUAAUUUGGAUUUCAUUUAGCGAAUCUACUAUAUAAAAGACAACCUGUAAUAUAAAUGUGC
Molecule: long non-coding RNA, 495 nt
Filed under: Salvia miltiorrhiza (redroot sage)
Lineage: Eukaryota; Viridiplantae; Streptophyta; Magnoliopsida; Lamiales; Lamiaceae
Description: long non-coding RNA (SMIL_LNC012789)
Source: RNAcentral